Molecule: ribosomal RNA, 500 nt
Filed under: uncultured Desulfobulbus sp.
Lineage: Bacteria; Pseudomonadati; Thermodesulfobacteriota; Desulfobulbia; Desulfobulbales; Desulfobulbaceae
Description: bacterial SSU rRNA
Rfam family: Bacterial small subunit ribosomal RNA
Source: RNAcentral
GCCCGCUCAGAAACUACAAGGAAGUUGACGGGGCCCGCACAAGCGGUGGAGUAUGUGGUUCAAUUCGAUGCAACGCGAAGAACCUUACCUGGUCUUGACAUCCCGGAGACCCUUAGGAAACUAGGGGUGCUUCCAUCUGGAAGAAUCUGGAGACAGGUGCUGCAUGGCUGUCGUCAGCUCGUGUCGUGAGAUGUUGGGUUAAGUCCCGCAACGAGCGCAACCCUUGCCUUUAGUUGCCAGCAGUUCGGCUGGGCACUCUAAAGGGACUGCCGGUGUUAAACCGGAGGAAGGUGGGGAUGACGUCAAGUCCUCAUGGCCUUUAUGACCAGGGCUACACACGUACUACAAUGGCCGAUACAAAGGGCAGCGACACUGCGAGGUGAAGCCAAUCCCGUAAAAUCGGUCUCAGUCCGGAUUGGAGUCUGCAACUCGACUCCAUGAAGUUGGAAUCGCUAGUAAUCGUGGAUCAGCAUGCCACGGUGAAUACGUUCCCGGGCCUU